Molecule: non-coding RNA, 866 nt
Organism: Camellia sinensis
Lineage: Eukaryota; Viridiplantae; Streptophyta; Magnoliopsida; Ericales; Theaceae
Source: RefSeq, a predicted model, not a curated record
AUAUAUGUUUUUCCAAACCCUUACAAGUGAUUAUCUCUCUCUCUCUCUGUGGCUAGGUCUACGUCGAUGAAAUCUUUGAUGGCGUCGCCACCAAAGGCCGCCGAGACUCCAUCAGUGGUUCUGGUGAAGAUAUCAACUCACGCUCCACUCUGCUCCUCCCAUUACUUCGGCCAUGAGUUCCACCGUCACCACCAUGACUUCAUCGUCAAUCGCCUGCACUUCUGGUCCCUCAACCACUCCUACUAGCAUUGCAGCUUUGAACACAAUCGGAUUUGCCGCCUAGCAUUCUUCGCCACUACUGCUCGAGUUCCCGUUGAAGAUCAUUGUUCUGAAAGCCCUAAGGUUAGGGUUUUGCAGAUUCAUCGCUCUCUCACCUUCUUCCCGAUAGAUCUAUAGAGGUAUGUGGUUGAUUUGAUCUUCAAAUGCGUUCUUUUACAUAUCUGGGUUCUUUUACAGAUCAAUCGCAAUCUAAUCCUUGUCUUUCCCCUCAUGGCCAACCCUACGUUUUUUUCUUUCUCAACUGCUGCUGCUUCGCCUACUCUAAAGCGAGUAAUCGACACUCACGACGGAAGCUUCCACUAUGACGAAGCCUUGGGCUGUGUUCAAAGUUACAUAUAUAUAGAUAUAUAUCUUAGUUCUGACAAGAACAAGUCCUCCAUCCAAAUCUGUAUUCAAAGUUACAUAUGUGUGUGUGUGUAUAAACCUUCAGUAAGAAAGACCAUCGAUCUCAGUCGAUUUGUGUUUAAUGUUUUAUUGUUUCAAAUUUUUCUUUUCCUUUUUCUUUUUGCUUGGUUUGUUAUUGUUGAUGAUGAACUUUUUUUUUUUUUUUGUGUUCAUCUAUAUAUUUUCUUUGUUGUUGUUGUUGA